RNAcentral lists this unclassified non-coding RNA (223 nucleotides) under Hevea brasiliensis (rubber tree). Lineage: Eukaryota; Viridiplantae; Streptophyta; Magnoliopsida; Malpighiales; Euphorbiaceae. The record is from RNAcentral.
GGUGCAAGCUCUUUGAGUGUACCAGUCUUCACAAUAUCAGUCCAGUGAGGCAACUCAAUCUUGCCGGAUCGCUUGAGGUGGGCAGCGUAAGCCUUGACGAACUCGUGAGGAGAAACGUCCUUAACAGUCCUAGCGGUCGCCAUUAUUUAAGAGUCACGUCGAGAGGCCUCCUUUGAUUCAAGCAGAGGCGCUAUUUGCAGAGCUAAAGAUAAAAAACAGGCUC